AUUAACGCUGGCGGUGUGUAUAAUACAUGCAAGUCGAGCGCCCAGCACCUUGUUUCUAAAUUUGAUUUAGAGAUAAAGUGCUGGGAGCGGCGGACGGGUGAGUAACACGUUGGUAACUACUCCAGAAUCAGGGAUAAGCCCUAGAAAUAGGGUCUAAUACCGGAUGGUCCCGCAAGGGUAAAGCAGCAAUGCGUUCUGGAAGGUGCCUGCGGCCUAUCAGCUAGUUGGUGAGGUAAUGGCUCACCAAGGCUAUGACGGGUAGCUGGUCUGAGAGGACGGCCAGCCACAAUGGGACUGAGACACGGCCCAUACUCCUACGGGAGGCAGCAGUAAAGAAUCUUUCGCAAUGGGGGAAACCCUGACGAAGCAACACCGCGUGGAGGAUGAAGGCGUUUUCGUUGUAAACUCCUUUUCUGAGGGAAUAAUUUUGAAGGUACUUCAGGAAUAAGCAUCGGCUAACUACGU
RNAcentral lists this ribosomal RNA (465 nucleotides) under uncultured bacterium. RNAcentral's name for it is "bacterial SSU rRNA". It matches the Rfam family "Bacterial small subunit ribosomal RNA", at positions 29 to 506 of the family's 1533-position model. The record is from RNAcentral.